This 253-nucleotide ribosomal RNA is filed under the name uncultured bacterium. Its description in RNAcentral is "partial 16S ribosomal RNA". It matches the Rfam family "Bacterial small subunit ribosomal RNA", at positions 524 to 776 of the family's 1533-position model. The record is from RNAcentral.
UACAGAGGUGGCAAGCGUUGUUCGGAAUUACUGGGCGUAAAGGGCGAGUAGGUGGCCAUCUAAGUCAGACGUGAAAUCCCCCGGCUUAACCCGGGAACUGCGUCCGAUACUGGCAGGCUUGAAUCCGGGAGAGGGAUGCGGAAUUCCAGGUGUAGCGGUGAAAUGCGUAGAUAUCUGGAGGAACACCGGUGGCGAAGGCGGCAUCCUGGACCGGCAUUGACGCUGAGGCGCGAAAGCCAGGGGAGCAAACGGG